GACGAACGCUGGCGGCGUGCUUAACACAUGCAAGUCGAACGGAAAGGCCCUGCUUUUGUGGGGUGCUCGAGUGGCGAACGGGUGAGUAACACGUGAGUAACCUGCCCUUGACUUUGGGUUAACUUCAGGAAACUGGGGCUAAUACCGGAUAGGAGCUCCUGCUGCAUGGUGGGGGUUGGAAAGUUUCGGUGGUUGGGGAUGGACUCGCGGCUUAUCAGCUUGUUGGUGGGGUAGUGGCUUACCAAGGCUUUGACGGGUAGCCGGCCUGAGAGGGUGACCGGCCACAUUGGGACUGAGAUACGGCCCAGACUCCUACGGGAGGCAGCAGUGGGGAAUAUUGCACAAUGGGCGGAAGCCUGAUGCAGCAACGCCGCGUGCGGGAUGACGGCCUUCGGGUUGUAAACCGCUUUCGCCUGUGACGAAGCGUGAGUGACGGUAAUGGGUAAAGAAGCACCGGCUAACUACGUG
This 468-nucleotide ribosomal RNA is filed under the name uncultured bacterium. RNAcentral describes it as "partial 16S ribosomal RNA". It matches the Rfam family "Bacterial small subunit ribosomal RNA", at positions 28 to 507 of the family's 1533-position model. The record is from RNAcentral.